RNAcentral lists this ribosomal RNA (260 nucleotides) under uncultured bacterium. Its description in RNAcentral is "partial small subunit ribosomal RNA". It matches the Rfam family "Bacterial small subunit ribosomal RNA", at positions 26 to 291 of the family's 1533-position model. The record is from RNAcentral.
AGGAUAAACGCUGGCGGCGUGCCUAAUCAAUGCGAGUCGAACGGGCACCUUCGGGUGUCAGUGGCGUCCGGGUGUUAGUAACGCGUAGCUAACCUGCCCACAGGUGGGGGAUACCCGCCAGAAAUGGCGGCUAAAUACCGCAUAGCGUGACGAGGGGGUGACCUUCGGCACGAAAGCAGCGAGGUGUCUGUGGAGGGGGCUGCGUCCGAUUAGCUGGUCGGUGGGGUAACGGCCUACCGAGGCGACGAUCGGUAGCUGGU